CGGAGGGUGCAAGCGUUAUCCGGAUUCACUGGGUUUAAAGGGUGCGUAGGUGGGCAAGUAAGUCAGUGGUGAAAUCUCCGGGCUUAACCCGGAAACUGCCAUUGAUACUAUUUGUCUUGAAUACUGUGGAGGUCAGCGGAAUAUGUCAUGUAGCGGUGAAAUGCUUAGAUAUGACAUAGAACACCAAUUGCGAAGGCAGCUGGCUACACAAAUAUUGACACUGAGGCACGAAAGCGUGGGGAUCAAACAGGAUUAGAUACCCUGGUAGUCCACGCCCUAAACUAUGGAUACUCGACAUUUGCGAUAAACUGCAAGUGUCUGAGCGAAAGCAUUAAGUAUCCCACCUGGGAAGUACAAUCGCAAGAUUG
RNAcentral lists this ribosomal RNA (368 nucleotides) under uncultured organism. Its description in RNAcentral is "bacterial SSU rRNA". It matches the Rfam family "Bacterial small subunit ribosomal RNA", at positions 526 to 896 of the family's 1533-position model. The record is from RNAcentral.